RNAcentral lists this ribosomal RNA (484 nucleotides) under uncultured bacterium. RNAcentral describes it as "partial 16S ribosomal RNA". It matches the Rfam family "Bacterial small subunit ribosomal RNA", at positions 30 to 507 of the family's 1533-position model. The record is from RNAcentral.
AUUGAACGCUGGCGGCAGGCCUAACACAUGCAAGUCGAGCGGAUGAAGGGAGCUUGCUCCUGGAUUCAGCGGCGGACGGGUGAGUAAUGCCUAGGAAUCUGCCUGGUAGUGGGGGAUAACGUCCGGAAACGGGCGCUAAUACCGCAUACGUCCUGAGGGAGAAAGUGGGGGAUCUUCGGACCUCACGCUAUCAGAUGAGCCUAGGUCGGAUUAGCUAGUUGGUGGGGUAAAGGCCUACCAAGGCGACGAUCCGUAACUGGUCUGAGAGGAUGAUCAGUCACACUGGAACUGAGACACGGUCCAGACUCCUACGGGAGGCAGCAGUGGGGAAUAUUGGACAAUGGGCGAAAGCCUGAUCCAGCCGUGCCGCGUGUGUGAAGAAGGUUUUCGGAUUGUAAAGCUCUUUAAGUUGGGAGGAAGGGCAGUAAGUUAAUACCUUGCUGCUUUGACGUUACCAACAGAAUAAGCACCGGCUAACUUCGUG